RNAcentral lists this ribosomal RNA (17 nucleotides) under Wilsonia backhousei. Its description in RNAcentral is "partial 26S ribosomal RNA". Lineage: Eukaryota; Viridiplantae; Streptophyta; Magnoliopsida; Solanales; Convolvulaceae. The record is from RNAcentral.
GACCCCAGGUCAGAGCG